AUACUCUGGUUUCUCUUCAGAUCGAAUAAAGCUUUCACCUUUACUAAAGUUUUCUGUGGAGAGGAUCAUCCAUGAGUUUUCAAAAAAAAUUUGCUCUCUGUCUCUAGGAUGUU
This is a small nuclear RNA of Bombina bombina (fire-bellied toad), 113 nucleotides long. RefSeq annotates it as U5 spliceosomal RNA. The transcript has a single exon. Lineage: Eukaryota; Metazoa; Chordata; Amphibia; Anura; Bombinatoridae. The record is from RefSeq and is a predicted model, not a curated record.